This 246-nucleotide ribosomal RNA is filed under the name uncultured bacterium. Its description in RNAcentral is "partial 16S ribosomal RNA". It matches the Rfam family "Bacterial small subunit ribosomal RNA", at positions 524 to 769 of the family's 1533-position model. The record is from RNAcentral.
UACGAAGGGAGCUAGCGUUGUUCGGAAUCACUGGGCGUAAAGCGCACGUAGGCGGAUGUGUCAGUCAGGGGUGAAAUCCCGGAGCUCAACUUCGGAACUGCCUUUGAUACAGCACGUCUUGAGUCCGAUAGAGGUGGGUGGAAUUCCUAGUGUAGAGGUGAAAUUCGUAGAUAUUAGGAAGAACACCGGUGGCGAAGGCGGCCCACUGGAUCGGUACUGACGCUGAGGUGCGAAAGCGUGGGGAGC